AUUGAACGCUGGCGGCAUGCCUUACACAUGCAAGUCGAACGGCAGCACGGGAGCUUGCUCCUGGUGGCGAGUGGCGAACGGGUGAGUAAUGCAUCGGAACGUGCCCUGAAGUGGGGGAUAACGUAGCGAAAGUUACGCUAAUACCGCAUAUUCUGUGAGCAGGAAAGCAGGGGGAUCUUCGGACCUUGCGCUUUUGGAGCGGCCGAUGUCGGAUUAGCUAGUUGGUGGGGUAAAGGCCCACCAAGGCGACGAUCCGUAGCGGGUCUGAGAGGAUGAUCCGCCACACUGGAACUGAGACACGGUUCAGACUCCUACGGGAGGCAGCAGUGGGGAAUUUUGGACAAUGGGCGCAAGCUUGAUCCAGCCAUGCCGCGUGAGUGAAGAAGGCCUU
This 391-nucleotide ribosomal RNA is filed under the name uncultured bacterium. RNAcentral describes it as "bacterial SSU rRNA". It matches the Rfam family "Bacterial small subunit ribosomal RNA", at positions 30 to 418 of the family's 1533-position model. The record is from RNAcentral.